RNAcentral lists this ribosomal RNA (520 nucleotides) under uncultured Glomus. RNAcentral's name for it is "SSU rRNA". It matches the Rfam family "Eukaryotic small subunit ribosomal RNA", at positions 569 to 1092 of the family's 1831-position model. Lineage: Eukaryota; Fungi; Glomeromycota; Glomeromycetes; Glomerales; Glomeraceae. The record is from RNAcentral.
AGCAGCCGCGGUAAUUCCAGCUCCAAUAGCGUAUAUUAAAGUUGUUGCAGUUAAAAAGCUCGUAGUUGAAUUUCGGGAUCAAUACGUCGGUCGUGCUUCGGUACGUACUGGCGUAAUUGAUUUCUCCCUUCUGACGAACCAUGAUGUCAUUAACUUGGUGUCAUGGGAAAUCAGGACUGUUACUUUGAGAAAAUUAGAGUGUUUAAAGCAGGCUCACGCUUGAAUACAUUAGCAUGGAAUAAUGAAAUAGGACGUUCGAUCCUAUUUUGUUGGUUUUUAGGAUCAACGUAAUGAUUAAUAGGGAUAGUUGGGGGCAUUAGUAUUCAAUUGUCAGAGGUGAAAUUCUUGGAUUUAUUGAAGACUAACUACUGCGAAAGCAUUUGCCAAGGAUGUUUUCAUUAAUCAAGAACGAAAGUUAGGGGAUCGAAGACGAUCAGAUACCGUCGUAGUCUUAACCAUAAACUAUGCCGACUAGGGAUCGGAUGAUGUUAAUUUUUAAUGACUCAUUCGGCGCCUUACG